AUUAACGCUGGCAGAGUGCAUAACACAUGCAAGUCGAGCGAGGUGGCGGAUUAUCGCGCCUAGCGGCAGACGAGUGAGUAACACGUAAACAACCUGCCCUUGAAUGGCGGACAACCAGCCGAAAGGUUGGCUAAUACGCCGUACAAUCCCUGGAAGGCAUCUUCCGGGGAUGAUAGGCCCGCAAGGGUCGUUCAAGGAGGGGUUUGCGUCCCAUCAGCUAGUUGGCGGUGUAAAGGACCACCAAGGCUAUGACGGGUACCCGGCCUGAAAGGGCGGACGGGCACGAAGGCACUGAGACACGGGCCUUACUCCUACGGGAGGCAGCAGUGGGGAAUUUUGGACAAUGGGCGAAAGCCUGAUCCAGCAACUCUGCGUGAGGGACGAAGCCUUUCGGGGCGUAAACCUCUUUUAUCUGGGAAGAAAUCCCGCAAGGGUCUGACGGUACCAGGUGAAUAAGCCACGGCUAACUAUGU
Molecule: ribosomal RNA, 473 nt
Filed under: uncultured bacterium
Lineage: Bacteria
Description: bacterial SSU rRNA
Rfam family: Bacterial small subunit ribosomal RNA
Source: RNAcentral